CCUACGGGAGGCAGCAGUAGGGAAUAUUGCUCAAUGGGGGAAACCCUGAAGCAGCAACGCCGCGUGGAGGAUGAAGGUUUUCGGAUUGUAAACUCCUUUUGUUAGAGAAGAUAAUGACGGUAUCUAACGAAUAAGCACCGGCUAACUCCGUGCCAGCAGCCGCGGUAAUACGGAGGGUGCAAGCGUUACUCGGAAUCACUGGGCGUAAAGAGCGCGUAGGCGGGAUAGCAAGUCAGAUGUGAAAUCCUAUGGCUUAACCAUAGAACUGCAUUUGAAACUGUUAUUCUAGAGUAUGGGAGAGGUAGGUGGAAUUCUAGGUGUAGGGGUAAAAUGCGUAGAGAUCAAGAGGAAUACUCAUUGCGAAGGCGACCUGCUAGAACAUAACUGACGCUGAUGCGCGAAAGCGUGGGGAGCAAACAGGAUUAGAUACCCCGGUAGUC
RNAcentral lists this ribosomal RNA (440 nucleotides) under uncultured bacterium. Its description in RNAcentral is "partial 16S ribosomal RNA". It matches the Rfam family "Bacterial small subunit ribosomal RNA", at positions 338 to 795 of the family's 1533-position model. The record is from RNAcentral.